GAUGAACGCUGGCGGCGCGCCUAAUACAUGCAAGUCGAGCGAGAAGACGUAGCAAUACGUUUGUAAAGCGGCGAACGGGUGAGGAAUACAUGGGUAACCUACCCUAGAGUGGGGAAUAACUAGCCGAAAGGUUAGCUAAUACCGCGUACGCUCCUUGGACUUCGGUUCAGGGAGGAAAGCGAUGCCGAGGGUAUCGCGCUCUUGGAUGGGCUCAUGUCCUAUCAGCUUGUUGGGAGGUAACGGCUCACCAAGGCUUCGACGGGUAGCUGGUCUGAGAGGACGAUCGGCCACACUGGCACUGCGACACGGGCCAGACUCCUACGGGAGGCAGCAGUAAGGAAUAUUGCGCAAUGGGCGAAAGCCCUGACGCAGCGACGCCGCGUGGGGGAUGAAGGUC
Molecule: ribosomal RNA, 397 nt
Filed under: uncultured bacterium
Lineage: Bacteria
Description: bacterial SSU rRNA
Rfam family: Bacterial small subunit ribosomal RNA
Source: RNAcentral